Molecule: long non-coding RNA, 216 nt
Filed under: Elaeis guineensis (African oil palm)
Lineage: Eukaryota; Viridiplantae; Streptophyta; Magnoliopsida; Arecales; Arecaceae
Description: long non-coding RNA (EGUI_LNC021084)
Source: RNAcentral
AUGGGCAAUUUUACUUUGGUCCUUUCUGACAUUUUCUUGUUUCACCAACGAAAAUUUUCAAGAGAAAAAUUGAUACUUGAAAUGAUCACUAUCACUUUUUUCGUUUUUAGUCUUAAAUCAAAAACAAUCACUACCAGCCUCUUAAAACUUACUGCUCUAAAUUUUGAUGUAAUUCUACAAGCCCUUAAUAUGUUUUUCUAUUAAUAACUACCCUCC